Molecule: ribosomal RNA, 780 nt
Filed under: Aquificales bacterium T30b-10
Lineage: Bacteria; Pseudomonadati; Aquificota; Aquificia; Aquificales
Description: bacterial SSU rRNA
Rfam family: Bacterial small subunit ribosomal RNA
Source: RNAcentral
CUUCGGNAACCCGUGCUGGCCANUGGACGAACGGGUGAGUAACGCGUGAGCAACCUACCCCAANGAGGGGGAUAACCCGGGGAAACCCGGGCUAAUACCCCAUAAGCGCACAUCCUGCAUGGGAUGUGUGAAUAGGGGGCCUCUGCAUUGCAAGCUCCCGCCUUGGGAUGGGCUCGCGUCCCAUCAGGUAGUUGGUGAGGUAACGGCUCACCAAGCCUACGACGGGUAGCUGGUCUGAGAGGAUGGCCAGCCACACCGGGACUGAGACACGGCCCGGACUCCUACGGGAGGCAGCAGUGGGGAAUAUUGGGCAAUGGCCGAAAGGCUGACCCAGCGACGCCGAGUGGAGGACGAAGCCCUUCGGGGUGUAAACUCCUGUCACCGGGGACGAUGCGGGAGUGGGUUAACAGCCCACUCUUGUGACGGUACCCGGAGAGGAAGGGACGGCUAACUACGUGCCAGCAGCCGCGGUAAUACGUAGGUCCCGAGCGUUGCGCGAAAUUACUGGGCGUAAAGAGCGCGUAGGCGGCUCAGUAAGUCAGAGGUGAAAGCCCCCGGCUCAACCGGGGAAUUGCCUCUGAUACUGCUGAGCUAGGGUCCGGAAGAGGCUGGCGGAAUUCCCGGUGUAGCGGUGAAAUGCGUAGAUAUCGGGAAGGAACACCGGUGGCGAAGGCGGCCAGCCAGGACGGUACUGACGCUGAGGCGCGAAAGCGUGGGGAGCGAACCGGAUUAGAUACCCGGGUAGUCCACGCUGUAAACGAUGGGUGCUGGGCGUUGGCC